AAAAUAAUCCUACCCUUUGUGAAUUUUGUUUGUUUGAAUAAUUUUUUUUUUUAAAAAAUUAUUGGAGUCUUUCCCUUUAGAGUUUGCUUUUGAGUUUGUAAAAGAAUUCGAAAACAUCUAAAGGGGAUGGUCAAUAAUUUUUUUUGAAAAAAGACAUUUUUUAAAAUUAAACUUUUUGUAUUCAUUUGUCUAAAAAUUAUUUUUUAUAAUAUAAAAACAACUUUUGACAAUGGAUCUCUUGGUUCUCGCAACGAUGAAGAACGCAGCAAAAUGCGAUAAGUAGUGUGAAUUGCAGAAUACGUGAAUCAUCGAAUCUUUGAACGCAUAUUGCACUUUUUUAGUUUACUAAAAAAGUAUGUCUGUUUGAGUAUCAGUAAAAUAUUCUCAUAAAAAUCAUUGUGUAUUUUUAUGGUUAUGAGUGUUUUACAACGAUACAAGUUGUUUCACUUUAAAUUUUUUUUAAUAUUGAAAUUUUUCUAAUUUUAAUAAUUAAAAUUGGAUAAAAUUUUCCCGUCAAAAGGAAUAACCUAAACAAUUUUAAAUGAUUAAUUUUAGCAAAAUUUUCGAAAAAAGGAAAAUUUUUAUUAAAAUAACUUGAUCUCAAAUCAGAUAAGAGUACCCGCUGAACUUAAGCGUAUCAAUAAGCGGAGGAAAAGAACUAACAAGGAUUCCCUUAGUAACGGCGAGUGAAGCGGGAAGAGCUCAAAUUUGAAAUCUUCAAGGUUUUACCUUGACGAAUUGUAGUUUAAAGAAGUGUUUUCUGCUGAAGUUUUGGUAAAAGUUCUUUGGAAUAGGACAUCAUAGAGGGUGAGAAUCCCGUAUUUGACCAUUAUUUUCAGCUUUGUGAUACACUUUCAAAGAGUCGGAUUGUUUGGGAAUGCAGUCCAAAAUGGGUGGUAAAUUUCAUCUAAAGCUGAAUAUUGGCGAGAGACCGAUAGCGAACAAGUACCGUGAGGGAAAGAUGAAAAGAACUUUGAAAAGAGAGUUAAACAGUACGUGAAAUUGUCAAAAGGGAAGCGUUUGACACCAGUGUUGUUUUCUCGAAAAUCAAUUAAAAAUGGCUCGAUUUUGUAUUGCUGAGACCUUAAAAGCUCACUGUACAUUUUUCGUGUCUUUUUUAAUGCACUUUUCGUUUAACAAGUCAACAUCAGUUUCUUUUGUUGUAAAAGGGUCAUUGGAAGGUGGCUUUCUUUUCGGAGAAAGUGUUUAUAGCCUUUGGCCUCUGCAAUCGGAGAGACUGAGGUCUGCAUCGUAGACUCUUCGGGGUUAGAUACAUUUGUGCUAAGUUAUAGCUUUUUAUAGACAACUUGUUGACUAUAAUUAGUCUUGUAGCUUACUCGCUUAUGCUAUUUUACCUGCGCUUAGGAUG
Molecule: unclassified non-coding RNA, 1369 nt
Filed under: uncultured Neocallimastigales
Lineage: Eukaryota; Fungi; Neocallimastigomycota; Neocallimastigomycetes; Neocallimastigales
Description: partial contains internal transcribed spacer 1, 5.8S ribosomal RNA, internal transcribed spacer 2, and large subunit ribosomal RNA
Rfam family: Eukaryotic large subunit ribosomal RNA (bases 596-1369)
Source: RNAcentral